Long non-coding RNA from Mya arenaria, 4908 nucleotides. RefSeq lists it as uncharacterized. The transcript is spliced from 2 exons. NCBI's taxonomy places the organism in Eukaryota, Metazoa, Mollusca, Bivalvia, Myida, Myidae. The record is from RefSeq and is a predicted model, not a curated record.
AUUGCAGUAACAUUGAUGUAAUAUUACGACGAUAAUUGUGGAACGGUGUUGUUAACUGAAAACAAAUGUGGUUAUUACAAGGUGUGUCAUUUACAGCAGGCUUUUAAGACAAUUGAACAUAUUUUCUAGGAGUGUAUUCUACAUGGAUGAUAAAAGUGAACGUAUUUAUCAUUUCAAUACAAGCAGAGAGGACUAUUUAAAUCAAGAAAAAAUGUCUGAGAACUAUCGAUGACGGAAAGAUAUUUGUUUGAAGAGGAAGUUUGAACAAUAUUUACUGCUGAAGGUCAAGGUCAACGACAACCAAUAUGGCGGAUUCACCGCGGACUUUACCGGAAGUUGCCUACAAACCAGUGGUUAUUAAAUAUCCAAACUCAAAGUCAGACAAACAAAUCAAGCGCACGAAAUAUUCGACAGACGAAACGGACUCCGACAUGGAGAGGAACGCAGGUGACGUUUUAAAGCCAAAAGGUUCAACUCAUCACAGCACAACUUAUGUUCCAGAUACAAACUUGACUCUCGCCUGCCUUGUGUGUAUAUGUUUCAACAUGCCUUUAGGAGCGGUUGCAAUGUACCUGUCGCUCUCUGCUGCUCGUCUGUAUCGUGAUGGGGACCCGAGAAGGGGAGAAAGAAAAGCCAAAUGCUCUGUUAUUCUCAGUCUAUUUAGCAUUGUUUCAACUGUGCUCCUUGUGAUGUCAUACGUAUUGUGGGUCGUCAUAGAAACACAGAAUAAACGAGCACUUAGACAGCGAAAUAGGUAAUGCAGCAAGUGUGAAAAACCAUUAUAGUGAAGCCUUAGGACUAGUGCCAAACUCUGUAUUACUUGCCUAUUGGACAUUCGCAGUGUAUGCUAUAGAAUAUCAGCCAUUGGUACAUUUGGACAUAGUCACUUAAUAUAUAAUGUUUUCUUGUGCAUAUUUGAUUUGAAAAGAGCCAUUCGGAGCUCCUCGGUCAUUUUUAUCGAAAACAACCUCGGAUAUAUGCCUGUACAUCAGUAGAAUACAUUUUAUCUUUUUAAUUUUAUCAUUAAUUUAAUGUAGUGUUGUUGUUUUGUUUUAUUUAUCUUAGUUUAAAUUGAUUGCCAGUGAAGUGUAUUGUUGCAAACAUAAUUAAGAUGCCCAAGAGUUAAGUCAUUAACUUUAACUGCUAAAUUAAAUUACAAGGCGAUCUACUUGCAGCGGACUUAAACAUACCGAUUUCUGAGUAUGUAAACCGUCCAUAUACAUCCGAGGUUAUUUUCGAGAAAAUGGCCGAGGAAUUCCGAAUGGAAUAGAGCUGCACCUUAAAUUGAAAUCUCAUGGAAAAUGAAGAUGAUUGAAUCUCAAAAUACACUAUGUGAAACAGGUUAUUUCAUUAAUCCAUCAUCUUAUAAUGAUUUAGUUUUAAUCACAAAGAAACAGAGGAAUUAACGUGGCUUUCCGAAAGGUGCAAGGAAACAGUUUCUACAUCCCUCAUUUUGCACAAUGUUAAACCAGCAUUAUCAAAUACAGCUUUGAAUAUCAUAGUCAAAUUUAGAGUGUGUAUUGACACUUUGCAAUGGAUAUUUGAAGUAUUCCUGGUAUUAUUUGUGGUUCUGUGUGGAAUUGACACUCGGCCAAAGUAUUCUGUGUAUAACGUUUACGGAUUGUUAAAAUACCUGAAUUUAGUUUGUAGUUUUUAAAGGGCGCGAUGCAAACAUAUUCAGAAGGUAAUUCUACAUACUUAUCUCGAAACGAAGGCUUUAUUUUUGACCGGAUUGACUUCAUGAUACAAUUAUAUAUUUAAAAUAAUUGUUUUAUUUAUAAUAAUGCUGAAUUAUGAAUCUUCCUGAAAUAUAGUGUUGACAAGAUUAACCGAAGAAGCAAAUGCAAAUCAUGUGAUAAUGUAUGCAUUGUAUAGUCAUUUUGUCAAUACCAGACGGGCUGGGAAACACUACAUGCACGUGUACUUGUCUUGUAACGACAUCAACGUUUACUUGUCUUGUAGCCUCAUGCACGUGUACUUGUCUUGUUUCUACAUUCACGUGCACUGGUCUUGUAGCCACAUGCACGUGUACUGGUCUUGUAGCUACGUGCACGUGUACUGAUCUUGUAGCUACAUGCACGUGAACUUGUCAUGCAGCUACAUGCACGUGCGCUUGUCUUGUAGCUACACGCACGUGUACUGUUCUUGUAGCUACUUGCACGUGUACUGGUCUUGUAGCUACACGCACGUGUACUGGUCUUGUAGCUUCACGCACGUGUACUGGUCUUGUAGCUACACGCACGUGAACUGGUCUUGUAGCUACAUGCCCGCGUACUGGUCUUGUAGCUACGCGCACGUGGAGAAGGUGAAUUGGAUCUUAAAAUACAGUUCAAAACUAUAUUUGUAAGUCUAGACAUACUAAAUCCUAAAAUAGAUGUGUUCUUAUUUUACAUGUCAUCUUUAGUAUGUCCUUACAUAAUGAAAUACUUGAUAAUCUCUUUCACACGAGUUCAUACGGAAGCAUGUGUACAUUGUACAUGUUAAGAUCGUCUAACUGAUGUCGCCAAUAUAUUUACAGUUCAAAUGUUGGUGACAUCAGCUACACGAUCUAAACAUGUACAAGUAUACACAUAUUGCAGUCUAAACUACACCGACAAGCCAAGAAUCCCAAUGUGUACGAAUACCCUGUUUUAAUGCACAUUGAUGGCGUUACGGUUAGAAGUAGUUCACGUACACGUGCAAGUAGUGUUUUGCAACGUAUCUGGUAUGUUGGAUAACUUCACGUAUGACUAGUUUUAGAGUUAUUAUAGAAGUGCUCAAUGUUGACCUUAUUCCAAAUGAUGCAUGUAUAUUUUUGCUUGAUGACAGGGGCUGUAAAACGGUAAUAAAAUAAAAAAAAUGUAGUAAUAAUAUAGUACAAAUGUCGCGUGUAGAAAUAAUUAAUUUACUCUGCAUAUGUGUAUCUUAGUAGACAGGUUUGUCCUUAAAACAAAACGUUCGUAGAUUGCAACAUAUACUUAUUUAUAAAUAUACAUUGCCUGAGAUUUGUUUAUAACACUUUCGCGAUAUUUAGUACAACGAUUAAGCUUAAUAUUGGUAUUAAUUGAUAAUAGAAAUAAUCAUACUACUACUACAUAUGAUUUUUAAAAGUAUUAUUAUAACAGCAUCAUUUAUAUUAGAAGGUAACAAAUUAUGACAUUGUUACAACAUAAUAGGAUCAAUGCUGCCUUCUGUAAACAAUUUCUGAAGGAGCGUUGGUUUAAUUAAAAAUCUAAAUUAAAACAAUUAUCUAAUUAAAAAUCGUGUGAUAAUUAGAGCUUUCAUGGAACCAGCCAAUAUUUGAUUGUAAUUUUAAGUUGUUUGUACAAAAAUUCCAUGGAAAUCACAGGGUGUACUGAAAGUUAAAAAAAACAUACGCCAGAAAUGUAAUUGUUACGUAAUGUUGAACAACCUUCACAUACAUGUACAUCUCACUAUAUAAGGAUUAUCAAAAUGUUUAAUUAAAGGCCCAUUGUGUUAAAUGUGACGCCAUUUGUAUACUGAAGUAUAUGCUCAUUUUAUAUAAUGUCUUUCAUGUUGAUAUCAUGUUGGUUACUAACUGUACAGAUCAUAUUGACAUUUUAUACAUCAACUCUGUAACCGUAUUCAUACGUAACUGUUUGUAUAUCUCACGAAUCCUAAAUAUGCAGUAUGACUGUAUGUGAAGCACAAUACGAAUGUAAAAUCUGGCAAAUAUACGUGCUUUUAUCUAUGAUUAAUACAUAUGUUACUAUAUAUAGUAACACAUUUGUACAGGGAUUUCGCGAUUAGUUGCAUGACUCAGCGAUUAUCGGUUUUGCGGCCCGGGCCGAUUUUCGAUUAUUAUUUUGCGGCCAGUAGAACGUUCGCACGUGAAUUCAAUUUUCGCCUUGAAAUCAAUUUUGGCGACUGUAAAAUAAUGUCUUGACCGUAAAUAAAUCAAAAUGUAUUGAUCUGCUUGAACAUAUUUAUAAUUAAAUCCUAAAGGGACGCAAACGCGAACGCAUUUUAGGAAGAUAUGCUAGUGUUUGAUAACCAGUGUGGACCGUUAGGGCGGCGUUUUUUAUUCUGCGUUGACAUUUAAAAAAAAAACAAAGGAAGCGGCAAAAUUGAUUUUACUUGAAAAACAGCAAAUGUUCAUACAUGUUGACAUCAAUAAUUCGAGGUGUUGGUUUAUCUAAGUACAAACAGUCGUUCUACUUGCUAAAGGUUCAUGUUUAUUGAAUUGAAUUCAGUUAUUCAGGACAUAAACAGACAGAUGUCAGUGAUUCGUACAGAAAAAUUCGGAUAGACGUGUUGUGGAAUUUUCAAGGUGAUCAAUUGAAAUUGGAAUGGGAACAUAAAAAUGAUAACAAAAUGUUGUUUGCCUGUUUUGCACACUUUUAAAAAAUUAAAUAAUAACAGUAAAUUUAAUUUGAGAGUGAGUUAACUCAUCGACUACGUCUCGGGCCAUUACGAGUCACUCGGGCCAAUUAUCACUCAACGGCCCGGCUACGCCGUGUAUUAACCUCUAAAUAAUAGACAUUAACCAGACUAAGACCGCUUGAUAUAUAUACAGUUUUGUAUGUUCUUCCAUAACACCAUUCAUCUUGUGAUGCAUUGCCUAGCACAUUCACUGUUUUAUAUCAUUUUCACAUUGAUUUAUGGAUCGAAGGAUAAAAGCCAAAAUAGUUUUAGUGAUAUUAAGUACAAUAAAACACUUAGGGCUUUUUGCUUCUACCAAUCGAGAUGGUUGAAUUGCUUUUGUAUUAGUCGAGGGGUGCCAAAAAGACUGUUGUAGGUGUCGGAUUGACUUUGACGCAGUUACCGCUGUAUUGCAGUGACCUUCGAUAUCACGUGGCCAAAAAAGAACGUCCAUUUUGUAUUUUUAGAAUCUAUGCAGUUGUAUUUUUGUAUGUGAAAAUGUUGUUAUCUUUAUUGUAUAAUGCAUUAAAUGACAUAUCAAUUUCA